RNAcentral lists this ribosomal RNA (540 nucleotides) under Naganishia albida. RNAcentral's name for it is "partial large subunit ribosomal RNA". It matches the Rfam family "Eukaryotic large subunit ribosomal RNA", at positions 54 to 515 of the family's 3401-position model. Lineage: Eukaryota; Fungi; Basidiomycota; Tremellomycetes; Filobasidiales; Filobasidiaceae. The record is from RNAcentral.
AGGAAAAGAAACUAACAAGGAUUCCCCUAGUAACGGCGAGUGAAGCGGGAAGAGCUCAAAUUUGAAAUCUGGUAGCCUUCGGUUGCCCGAGUUGUAAUCUAGAGAAGUGUUUUCCGUGCCGGCCCAUGUACAAGUCCCUUGGAACAGGGCGUCAUAGAGGGUGAGAAUCCCGUCCUUGACAUGGACCCCCGGUGCUUUGUGAUACACUUUCAACGAGUCGAGUUGUUUGGGAAUGCAGCUCAAAAUGGGUGGUGAAUUCCAUCUAAAGCUAAAUAUUGGCGAGAGACCGAUAGCGAACAAGUACCGUGAGGGAAAGAUGAAAAGCACUUUGGAAAGAGAGUUAAACAGUACGUGAAAUUGUUGAAAGGGAAACGAUUGAAGUCAGUCAUGCUCUUGGGACUUACCUCCCUUGAGUGGGGUCAACAUCAGUUUUGAUCGAUGGAUAAAGGCACGGGGAAGGUAGCACUCUCGGGUGAACUUAUAGCCUCGCGUCAUAUACAUUGAUUGGGACUGAGGAACGCAGCAUGCCUUAUGGCCGGG